RNAcentral lists this ribosomal RNA (498 nucleotides) under uncultured bacterium. Its description in RNAcentral is "partial 16S ribosomal RNA". It matches the Rfam family "Bacterial small subunit ribosomal RNA", at positions 30 to 523 of the family's 1533-position model. The record is from RNAcentral.
AUUGAACGCUGGCGGCAUGCCUUACACAUGCAAGUCGAACGGUAACAGGUCUUCGGAUGCUGACGAGUGGCGAACGGGUGGGUAAUACAUCGGAACGUGCCUAGUAGUGGGGGAUAACUACUCGAAAGAGUGGCUAAUACCGCAUGAGAUCUACGGAUGAAAGCAGGGGAUCGCAAGACCUUGUGCUACUAGAGCGGCCGAUGGCAGAUUAGGUAGUUGGUGGGAUAAAAGCUUACCAAGCCGACGAUCUGUAGCUGGUCUGAGAGGACGAUCAGCCACACUGGGACUGAGAAACGGCCCAGACUUCUACGGGAGGCAGCAGUGGGGAAUUUUGGACAAUGGGCGCAAGCCUGAUCCAGCAAUGCCGCGUGCAGGAUGAAGGCCUUCGGGUUGUAAACUGCUUUUGUACGGAACGAAAAGCCCCGGGUUAAUACCCUGGGGUCAUGACGGUACCGUAAGAAUAAGCACCGGCUAACUACGUGCCAGCCGCCGCCGUAA